AGUAGGGAAUCUUCGGCAAUGGACGAAAGUCUGACCGAGCAACGCCGCGUGAGUGAAGAAGGUUUUCGGAUCGUAAAACUCUGUUGUUAGAGAAGAACAAGGAUGAGAGUAGAACGUUCAUCCCUUGACGGUAUCUAACCAGAAAGCCACGGCUAACUACGUGCCAGCAGCCGCGGUAAUACGUAGGUGGCAAGCGUUGUCCGGAUUUAUUGGGCGUAAAGCGAGCGCAGGCGGUUUCUUAAGUCUGAUGUGAAAGCCCCCGGCUCAACCGGGGAGGGUCAUUGGAAACUGGGAGACUUGAGUGCAGAAGAGGAGAGUGGAAUUCCAUGUGUAGCGGUGAAAUGCGUAGAUAUAUGGAGGAACACCAGUGGCGAAGGCGGCUCUCUGGUCUGUAACUGACGCUGAGGCUCGAAAGCGUGGGGAGCGAACAGGAUUAGAUACCCUGGUAGUCCACGCCGUAAACGAUGAGUGCUAAGUGUUGGAGGGUUUCCGCCCUUCAGUGCUGCAGCAAACGCAUUAAGCA
RNAcentral lists this ribosomal RNA (523 nucleotides) under uncultured Enterococcus sp. RNAcentral describes it as "bacterial SSU rRNA". It matches the Rfam family "Bacterial small subunit ribosomal RNA", at positions 353 to 866 of the family's 1533-position model. Lineage: Bacteria; Bacillati; Bacillota; Bacilli; Lactobacillales; Enterococcaceae. The record is from RNAcentral.